GACGAACGCUGGCGGCGUGCUUAACACAUGCCAGUCGAACGGAAAGGCCCUGCUUUUGUGGGGUGCUCGAUUGGCGAACGGGUGAGUAACACGUGAGUAACCUGCCCUUGUCUUUGGGAUAACUUCAGGAAACAGGGGCUAAUACCGGGUAGGAGCUCCUGCUGCAUGGUGGGGGUUGGAGAGUUUCGGCGGUGGGGGAUGGAUUGGCGGGUUAUGAGCUUGUUGGUCGGGUAGUUGUUUACCAAGUCUAUGACGGGUAGGCGGCCUGAGAGGGUUACCGGGGUCAUUGGGACUGCGGUACGGCGCAGACUCCUAUGGGAGGCAGCAGUGGGGAAUAUUGCACAAUGGGCGGAAGCGUGAUGUAGCAAUGUCGCGUGCGGGAUGACGGGUUUCGGGGUGUAAACCGCUGUCGCAUGUGACGAAGCGUGAGUGACGGUAAUGGGUAAAGAAGCACCGGCUAACUACGUG
RNAcentral lists this ribosomal RNA (468 nucleotides) under uncultured bacterium. RNAcentral describes it as "partial 16S ribosomal RNA". It matches the Rfam family "Bacterial small subunit ribosomal RNA", at positions 28 to 507 of the family's 1533-position model. The record is from RNAcentral.